UACGUAGGGUGCUAGCGUUGUCCGGAAUCAUUGGGCGUAAAGCGCGCGUAGGUGGCUUCGUAAGUCCGUUGUGAAAGUCAAAGGCUCAACCUUUGAAUGCCGAUGGAUACUGCGAAGCUAGAGUACGGAAGAGGCGAGUGGAAUUCCUGGUGUAGCGGUGGAAUGCGCAGAUAGCAGGAGGAACACCAAUGGCGAAGGCAGCUCGCUGGGACGUGACUGACGCUGAGACGCGUAAGCGUGGGGAGCAAACAGG
Molecule: ribosomal RNA, 253 nt
Filed under: uncultured bacterium
Lineage: Bacteria
Description: partial 16S ribosomal RNA
Rfam family: Bacterial small subunit ribosomal RNA
Source: RNAcentral